UACAGAGGGUGCAAGCGUUGUUCGGAAUUACUGGGCGUAAAGCGCACGUAGGCGGAUAUUUAAGUCAGGGGUGAAAUCCCAGAGCUCAACUCUGGAACUGCCUUUGAUACUGGGUAUCUUGAGUAUGGAAGAGGUAAGUGGAAUUGCGAGUGUAGAGGUGAAAUUCGUAGAUAUUCGCAGGAACACCAGUGGCGAAGGCGGCUUACUG
Molecule: ribosomal RNA, 208 nt
Filed under: uncultured bacterium
Lineage: Bacteria
Description: partial 16S ribosomal RNA
Rfam family: Bacterial small subunit ribosomal RNA
Source: RNAcentral